Molecule: ribosomal RNA, 1148 nt
Filed under: Salmonella enterica
Lineage: Bacteria; Pseudomonadati; Pseudomonadota; Gammaproteobacteria; Enterobacterales; Enterobacteriaceae
Description: partial 23S ribosomal RNA
Rfam family: Bacterial large subunit ribosomal RNA
Source: RNAcentral
UAAGCCUGUGAAGGUGUGUCGUGAGGCAUGCUGGAGGUAUCAGAAGUGCGAAUGCUGACAUAAGUAACGAUAAAGCGGGUGAAAAGCCCGCUCGCCGGAAGACCAAGGGUUCCUGUCCAACGUUAAUCGGGGCAGGGUGAGUCGACCCCUAAGGCGAGGCCGAAAGGCGUAGUCGAUGGGAAACGGGUUAAUAUUCCCGUACUUGGUGUUACUGCGAAGGGGGGACGGAGAAGGCUAUGUUGGCCGGGCGACGGUUGUCCCGGUUUAAGCGUGUAGGUGUGUGUUCCAGGUAAAUCCGGUUCACUUUAACACUGAGGCGUGACGACGAGGCACUACGGUGCUGAAGCAACAAAUGCCCUGCUUCCAGGAAAAGCCUCUAAGCAUCAGGUAACACGAAAUCGUACCCCAAACCGACACAGGUGGUCAGGUAGAGAAUACCAAGGCGCUUGAGAGAACUCGGGUGAAGGAACUAGGCAAAAUGGUGCCGUAACUUCGGGAGAAGGCACGCUGACACGUAGGUGAAGUGAUUUACUCACGGAGCUGAAGUCAGUCGAAGAUACCAGCUGGCUGCAACUGUUUAUUAAAAACACAGCACUGUGCAAACACGAAAGUGGACGUAUACGGUGUGACGCCUGCCCGGUGCCGGAAGGUUAAUUGAUGGGGUCAGCGCAAGCGAAGCUCCUGAUCGAAGCCCCGGUAAACGGCGGCCGUAACUAUAACGGUCCUAAGGUAGCGAAAUUCCUUGUCGGGUAAGUUCCGACCUGCACGAAUGGCGUAAUGAUGGCCAGGCUGUCUCCACCCGAGACUCAGUGAAAUUGAACUCGCUGUGAAGAUGCAGUGUACCCGCGGCAAGACGGAAAGACCCCGUGAACCUUUACUAUAGCUUGACACUGAACAUUGAGCCUUGAUGUGUAGGAUAGGUGGGAGGCUUUGAAGUGUGGACGCCAGUCUGCAUGGAGCCGACCUUGAAAUACCACCCUUUAAUGUUUGAUGUUCUAACGUGGACCCGUAAUCCGGGUUGCGGACAGUGUCUGGUGGGUAGUUUGACUGGGGCGGUCUCCUCCUAAAGAGUAACGGAGGAGCACGAAGGUUGGCUAAUCCUGGUCGGACAUCAGGAGGUUAGUGCAAUGGCAUAAGCCAGCUUGACU